GGCAGUGUGGUGUAGUGGUUUGAGCGUUGGACUAGGGUUCUGGAGACCAGGUUUCGAAUGCUGGCUCAGCCU
Non-coding RNA from Phrynosoma platyrhinos (Desert horned lizard), 72 nucleotides. The record is from the annotation of a GenBank genome assembly. Lineage: Eukaryota; Metazoa; Chordata; Lepidosauria; Squamata; Phrynosomatidae.